CCUCAAAUCAGGUAGGACUACCCGCUGAACUUAAGCAUAUCAAUAAGCGGAGGAAAAGAAACUAACAAGGAUUCCCCUAGUAACUGCGAGUGAAGCGGGAAAAGCUCAAAUUUAAAGUCUGGUGGUCCUUGCGGCCAUCCGAGUUGUAAUCUAGAGAAGUGUUAUCUGUGCUGGACCAUGUACAAGUCUCUUGGAAUAGAGCACCAUAGAGGGUGAGAAUCCCGUCUUUGACAUGGACUACCAGUGCAUUGUGAUGCGCUCUCGAAGAGUCGAGUUGUUUGGGAAUGCAGCUCAAAAUGGGUGGUAAAUUCCAUCUAAGCUAAAUAUUGGCGAGAGACCGAUAGCGAACAAGUACCGUGAGGGAAAGAUGAAAAGAACUUUGGAAAGAGAGUUAAACAGUACGUGAAAUUGUUGAAAGGGAAAUGCUUGAAGUCAGUCGCGUUUGCCAGGGAUCAACCUUCUCUUGAGUUGGAGCAUUUCCUGGUUAACGGGUCAGCAUCAAUUUUGACUGUUGGAUAAAGGUUAGGGGAAUGUGGCAUCUUUGGAUGUGUUAUAGCCCCUAACCAGAUACAAUGGUUGGGAUUGAGGAACUCAGCAUGCCGCAAGGCCGGGGUUUUUACCCACGUUACAUGCUUAGGAUGCUGGCAUAAU
This 651-nucleotide ribosomal RNA is filed under the name uncultured Basidiomycota. RNAcentral's name for it is "LSU rRNA". It matches the Rfam family "Eukaryotic large subunit ribosomal RNA", at positions 1 to 635 of the family's 3401-position model. Lineage: Eukaryota; Fungi; Basidiomycota. The record is from RNAcentral.